CUGGCUAACCUGGAACACUCUAUGAAGAUUAGGCUGUCCUCGAACUCAUAGAGAUCAGCCUGCCUCUGCCUGCUGAGUGCUGGGAUUAAAGGCAUGCACCACAACCACCUAGAGAAAUUUCUUAUGAAUCAUUUAUGCCUUCCUGCAGACAUGCCACUUCUUUAAUUUUCCAGGUAGCAUACUACCAUUCCCACGUUCAGGCAGAUAUCAUCUUGUUGCAUACUAUCCUUACAAAUUGGAGGUUCUGACACAUAAAGAAGCCAAAGGUCAUUUUAAGAUACUUGAAACAUCUUUCUCAGGAACAAGAUAAUCAAAGCUUACAAGGAAACACAAAGAAAAAGAUCAACUAAGUACAUCAUUCCUAAGUUUAUCAUGGGAUCUAUAUACUAAAUAUGAAGGUGUGUUCCUUCUCAAUAAAUGUAUUCCUAUGGGACACUGAAGACUCAACUAUGGCAGGGGCCCUCAGGAUGUCAAUCUCAACACAGCACAGUGCCGCAGAUCUUGCCUUAUGAACUGCGUCUCCAGUCAGUCUAGUAAAAUGAAUUAACUCACACUGUCCAGACACGGCUUAACAAUUCAAGAGACACUUUUAUGUCAACCUAUGAAGCCAUACCUUUAAUCAUAUGCUCACCUUUAGGAUCUUCAUGAAGUUCAGAUGUUUUGGGAUGAAUUUGUACACAAUAAACACAAGUAUCUGCACAUAUGUAUCCAUGUGUACAGUUCUACAUCUCUUCUAGUUGGGGUGGUCCUAACAAAGAGCUCUUUAUCUAUCCUCUUCUGGGCAGAACUCCAGUCCAGGAUGAUUCUACUGCCACUAUUAUGCAGGUCAUCCCCAGAAGACAGCCCUUCCUUUGGGCACUGGGACUCAUCCUCUAAUACUUGGAAACAUUCAACUUUAACUGAAAGGCACACCAGAACAGUGGCUAGGCUGGUUCAAUCAACCAACAGGCACAGUGCCUUACCCUGCACUAUUCUUUCCCCAAUUCACCUCCAUCUUAUAACCUUAUGUGUUCAAAGUUUAAGUUUAACAAUUCCCCCCAUAUCCAUUUCUAUGAAACAAUAAUCCUUAAAAGGUGUUAACCCUCUAUUUUUACCAUGUGCAGUUUUUAAAUUUAUUAGUUAGUACAUGUGGUCACAUGCAUGCCACUGCACUUGUAUGUAGACUAUAAGACAAUUUGUGAAUCACUUUUCUCCUUUCUUUCAUCAUGUGGUUCAUGGAGAGCAAACUCAUGUCACCAGCUGUGUGGCUAGGCACUUUAUCUGCUGGGCCACACCACCAGUCCAGUAUGUACAUUUUCUUACUGUUUUGAGACAACGCCUAUGUAGCCCAGGCUGGCCUGGAACUCACAAUAUCCACCUGCCUCAAAUUAGGAUUAAAGGUAUGCAAUACCACACCAAAUAUAUUAUGUACUUCAAAGUCUAAAGACUAGAUGUUUCCAAUAACACUACUGUUUCCCCAGCAUGUGUACUAUGCAGUGCAGUAACUAAACUGCACAUACUUAUAAAUAGCAACAUUCUAGUCUAUAACAUCUCCCAUCUCUCUCUACCCAGUUUAUGUAACUGUUAAGUUUUUUUUUGGGGGGUGAGGAUAUUAACUAUUUCAUGUCCUAAGUGCUUUUGAGUUUUCCCCAUGAAAUUUAACAAAACUUUAAAUUAUGUCUUUUC
This 1665-nucleotide long non-coding RNA is filed under the name Cricetulus griseus (Chinese hamster). RNAcentral's name for it is "lncRNA (ENSCGRG00015038492.1)". Lineage: Eukaryota; Metazoa; Chordata; Mammalia; Rodentia; Cricetidae. The record is from RNAcentral.